UCCAGUAUGGUGUAUCGGUUAACAUAUGUGCUUUUCAUUCACUGUACACGCGAAAUUUAUACGCACGUGCGCGGGGUUCGACUCCCCGUACCAGAA
Non-coding RNA from Mycena polygramma, 96 nucleotides. The record is from the annotation of a GenBank genome assembly. NCBI's taxonomy places the organism in Eukaryota, Fungi, Basidiomycota, Agaricomycetes, Agaricales, Mycenaceae.